Cyprinus carpio (common carp) is the source of this 1053-nucleotide long non-coding RNA. NCBI's taxonomy places the organism in Eukaryota, Metazoa, Chordata, Actinopteri, Cypriniformes, Cyprinidae. The record is from Ensembl.
UAAGGACCUUCUCCAAUCAGAAACCGUUGGUGGACAGUACAAUCCGUGCAGCAGUAAACAAACGCACUGCUGCAUACAAUGCUGGUCUCUCGUCGGGGAACAUCAGCAAGUACAAAGCAUCAUGCUAUGAUCUCAGACGGGCAGUAAAAGCCGCAAAACACAGAUACAUGGAAUGCAGAGAGUCCCAUUUCCAACUAAAUGACUCCCGAUGCAUGUGGCAGGGACUAAGGACCAUCUGUGCCUUUGGAAACAAAUCCUCUGCAGCUAUGAGAGCUGACCCAUCGCUGGCUGACGAGUUAAACUCUUUCUACGGCCGCUUUGAAUGCAACCGAGGCAGCGUGUUCCGAGGUCCUGUGCUGAUCAGCUCGCUGGUUUGUUUACAUCUAUUUUUAAUGAGUCCCUUGCUACCUCGGUGGUUCCCACCUCCUUUAAAAAAAUCUGUCAUCAUCCCUGUGCCUAAGAACAAUAAACCCUCUUGCCUGAAUGACUAUCGUCUGGUUGCCCUCACAUCAAUAGUCAUGAGGGUCUUUGAGGGACUGGUUAAAAACUUCAUCUGCUCCUCCAUCCCGGAUACUUUGGACCCUCUCCAGUUUGCCUAUCGCCCCAACAGAUCCACUGAUGAUGCCAUCUCUCACAUCCUGCACUCUUCUCUCACGCACAUUGACAGCAGCAAUGGGAACUAUGUAAGGCUGCUAUUCAUCGACUAUAGCUCAGCUUUCAAUACUAUAGUCCCCAUCAAGCUAGCUUCUAAACUCAUGGACCUCGGCCUGAAUUCUUCACUCUGCAACUGGAUUCUUGAUUUCCUCACCGGUAGACCUCAAGUGGUGAAAGUAGGCCAGUACACCUCCAGCUCCAUCACCCUGAAUGUGGGAGCUCCACAGGGCUGUGUCCUGACUUCCCUGCUCUUCACUCUCUACACACAUGACUGUGUGUCUUCCCACAGCUCCACCUAUUAUCAAAUUUGCUGAUGAUACUGUGGUGCUGGGCCUCAUUUCCAACAAUAAUGAAGCCGCAUACUUGGAUGAGGUAGAGAAACUCACAUCAUGGUGCCAG